UAUCUCUGCACUGAUCAUCUAGGAGAUGUGACUCUUGUCUAAGCUCUGCCUACAGGGGCAUUGGGACAUAUCUCUGCACUGAUCACUGAGAUGAUGUAACACUUGUCAAGGCUUUGCCUACAGUGAGAUUUAUGACAUAUCUCUGCACUGAUCACCCAGUUGAUGUAACUCUUGUCUAGGCUCAGCUUACAGGGGGUAUUGUGAGAUAUCUCUGCACUGAUCACCCAGGUGAUGUAACUCUUGUUAGGCUCUGCCUACAGGGGCAUUUUAACAUAUCACUGCACUGAUCACCGAGAUGAUGUAACUUGUACAGGCUUCGCUGACAGAGGUCUUUGAGACAUAUCACUUCACUGAUCACCGAGGUGAUGCAACUCUUGUCUGGGAUCUGCCUACAGGGGGCAUUGUGACAUAUCUCUGCAUUGAUCACCGAGGUGAUGUAACUCUUGUCUAGGCUCUGCCUGCUGGAGACAUUGUGACAUAUCUCUGCACUGAUCACCCAGGUGAUGUAACUCUUGUCUAGGCUCUGCCUACAUGGACAUUGUGACAUGUCUCUGCACUGAUCACCCAGGUGAUGUAACCAUUGUCUAGGAUCUGCCUAAAGGGACUUUGUGACAUAACUCUGCACUGAUUAUCCAGGUGAUGUGGCUUUUUUCUAGGCUCUGCCUAUGGGGACAUUGUGACGUGUUUCUGCCCUGAGCACCCAGGUGAUGGACUCUUGUCUUGCGUCUGCCUAUGGGGGCUUUGUGACAUAUCUCUGCACUGAUCACCCAGGUGAUGUAACUGUUGUAUAAGCUCUGCCUACAGGGGAAUUGUGAGAGA
RNAcentral lists this long non-coding RNA (819 nucleotides) under Homo sapiens (human). RNAcentral describes it as "HSALNT0288859". Lineage: Eukaryota; Metazoa; Chordata; Mammalia; Primates; Hominidae. The record is from RNAcentral.